CCUACGGGAGGCAGCAGUGGGGGAUAUUGCACAAUGGGGGGAACCCUGAUGCAGCGACGCCGCGUGGGUGAAGGAGUGCCUCGGCAUGUAAAGCUCUAUCAGCCGGGAAGAAAAUGACGGUACCUGAGCAAGAAGCCCCGGCUAACUACGUGCCAGCAGCCGCGGUUAUACGUCGGGGGCAAGCGUUAUCCGGAUUUACGGGGUGUAAAGGGGGCGUAGACGGCAGUGAAAGUCUGGAGUGAAAGGCGGGGGCUCAACCCCCGGACUGCUCGGGAAACUGUAAGGCUGGAGUGCAGGAGAGGUAAGUGGAAUUCCUGGUGUAGCGGUGAAAUGCGUAGAUAUUAGGAGGAACACCAGUGGCGAAGGCGGCUUGCUGGACUGUAACUGACGUUGAGGCUCGAAAGCGUGGGGAGCAAACAGGAUUAGAUACCCGUGUAGUC
Molecule: ribosomal RNA, 440 nt
Filed under: uncultured bacterium
Lineage: Bacteria
Description: partial 16S ribosomal RNA
Rfam family: Bacterial small subunit ribosomal RNA
Source: RNAcentral